RNAcentral lists this long non-coding RNA (327 nucleotides) under Hordeum vulgare. Its description in RNAcentral is "long non-coding RNA (HVUL_LNC010721)". Lineage: Eukaryota; Viridiplantae; Streptophyta; Magnoliopsida; Poales; Poaceae. The record is from RNAcentral.
CUUGCUUCAAAACUACAGGCUUUAGCCCUCCGUUUGCUGGUUGCCAAAGACGAGAGCUUCGCCUUUGGAAGCGCCAGUAGCGUAGGGCGACCGGGCCAGCCGAGCGUUUCCUUUCUAUAUGAUAAGUCUACUCGCGCCUCAAGGGCCGGUCAUUUACGCUCUCCACUACAUGAACAACAUUCCCAACUAGAUGUGUAUGGCUUCCAUUGUCUCCUUUUCGAUUCCCGACUCUAGCUCACAGGUAUCCAUAAGAGCGACCAGCCCUGAAUGCUUAAACCUAUCAAUCCUCUCCUAAAUUUCUUUCUUUUUGUCGUUGGGCAAGGAGCA